Molecule: long non-coding RNA, 231 nt
Filed under: Salvia miltiorrhiza (redroot sage)
Lineage: Eukaryota; Viridiplantae; Streptophyta; Magnoliopsida; Lamiales; Lamiaceae
Description: long non-coding RNA (SMIL_LNC013994)
Source: RNAcentral
ACGAGAGAUUUUUUAAUAUUUUUACUCUCUUGGGCGGUGAUGGUGGUGAAAGGGUUUUUAUCUUUUUCUUUUUCUUUUUAAUUAUGAAAGGUUAAUAAAAUAGGAUUAAUUCAGUAAUGUUUUUAAGGAUAUUUUGGACCUUUUGCUAUUAUUUCAUGAAGACAGUAUGUGAUAUCAAACAACCUCAGUACUUUUUCGCGCUUAUAAUAUGGUGCUAUCAAACACUGAGCC